GAACGCUGGCGGCAGGCCUAACACAUGCAAGUCGAGCGGUAGCACAAGAGAGCUUGCUCUCUGGGUGACGAGCGGCGGACGGGUGAGUAAUGUCUGGGAAACUGCCUGAUGGAGGGGGAUAACUACUGGAAACGGUAGCUAAUACCGCAUGACGUCUUCGGACCAAAGUGGGGGACCUUCGGGCCUCACGCCAUCAGAUGUGCCCAGAUGGGAUUAGCUAGUAGGUGGGGUAAUGGCUCACCUAGGCGACGAUCUCUAGCUGGUCUGAGAGGAUGACCAGCCACACUGGAACUGAGACACGGUCCAGACUCCUACGGGAGGCAGCAGUGGGGAAUAUUGCACAAUGGGCGCAAGCCUGAUGCAGCCAUGCCGCGUGUGUGAAGAAGGCCUUCGGGUUGUAAAGCACUUUCAGCGGGGAGGAAGGCGUUAAGGUUAAUAACCUUGGCGAUUGACGUUACCCGCAGAAGAAGCACCGGCUAACUCCGUGCCAGCAGCCGCGGUAAUACGGAGGGUGCAAGCGUUAAUCGGAAUUACUGGGCGUAAAGCGCACGCAGGCGGUCUGUCAAGUCGGAUGUGAAAUCCCCGGGCUCAACCUGGGAACUGCAUUCGAAACUGGCAGGCUAGAGUCUUGUAGAGGGGGGUAGAAUUCCAGGUGUAGCGGUGAAAUGCGUAGAGAUCUGGAGGAAUACCGGUGGCGAAGGCGGCCCCCUGGACAAAGACUGACGCUCAGGUGCGAAAGCGUGGGGAGCAAACAGGAUUAGAUACCCUGGUAGUCCACGCCGUAAACGAUGUCGAUUUGGAGGUUGUGCCCUUGAGGCGUGGCUUCCGGAGCUAACGCGUUAAAUCGACCGCCUGGGGAGUACGGCCGCAAGGUUAAAACUCAAAUGAAUUGACGGGGGCCCGCACAAGCGGUGGAGCAUGUGGUUUAAUUCGAUGCAACGCGAAGAACCUUACCUGGUCUUGACAUCCACAGAACUUUCCAGAGAUGGAUUGGUGCCUUCGGGAACUGUGAGACAGGUGCUGCAUGGCUGUCGUCAGCUCGUGUUGUGAAAUGUUGGGUUAAGUCCCGCAACGAGCGCAACCCUUAUCCUUUGUUGCCAGCGGUUAGGCCGGGAACUCAAAGGAGACUGCCAGUGAUAAACUGGAGGAAGGUGGGGAUGACGUCAAGUCAUCAUGGCCCUUACGACCAGGGCUACACACGUGCUACAAUGGCAUAUACAAAGAGAAGCGACCUCGCGAGAGCAAGCGGACCUCAUAAAGUAUGUCGUAGUCCGGAUUGGAGUCUGCAACUCGACUCCAUGAAGUCGGAAUCGCUAGUAAUCGUAGAUCAGAAUGCUACGGUGAAUACGUUCCCGGGCCUUGUACACACCGCCCGUCACACCAUGGGAGUGGGUUGCAAAAGAAGUAGGUAGCUUAACCUUCGGGAGGGCGCUUACCACUUUGUGAUUCAUGACUGGGGUG
Molecule: ribosomal RNA, 1461 nt
Filed under: uncultured organism
Description: SSU rRNA
Rfam family: Bacterial small subunit ribosomal RNA
Source: RNAcentral